CAGUAGCCACGGUAAUACGUAGGUGGCAAGCGUUGUCCGGAAUUAUUGGGCGUAAAGGGCUCGCAGGCGGUUUCUUAAGUCUGAUGUGAAAGCCCCCGGCUCAACCGGGGAGGGUCAUUGGAAACUGGGAAACUUGAGUGCAGAAGAGGAGAGUGGAAUUCCACGUGUAGCGGUGAAAUGCGUAGAGAUGUGGAGGAACACCAAUGGCGAAGGCGACUCUCUGGUCUGUAACUGACGCUGAGGAGCGAAAGCGUGGGGAGCGAACAGGAUUAGAUACCCCCGUAGUCCCUGUCUCUUAUCC
RNAcentral lists this ribosomal RNA (301 nucleotides) under uncultured bacterium. RNAcentral describes it as "partial 16S ribosomal RNA". It matches the Rfam family "Bacterial small subunit ribosomal RNA", at positions 509 to 809 of the family's 1533-position model. The record is from RNAcentral.